CAUCACCCUGGUUUCAAGCCUCCCUGCCAGCCACAGUCUGGCAGUGUCCCACCUAGGAUUGUUAUUGCCAACUAUUUGUCCUUGUGCUGGCUUUGUCCUUUAGAUUCAAAAUCACAUCCUCCCCUGGGUGGCUUGUGUUUAUGUGGCAGCCUGUCCCAGCAUAGUCCGUGCAGGGUUUCCUUGGGGUCCUUUGUCUUCAGGCAUGUGGGCACAUUUCACUAGCCUGCAUGUUCCUCAAUAAACAACUUUCUCACUGUUUCUCCAAAGGUCUCUCAUGUCUCACCAGAAAGAGCUUUAUCUGUGCACUAAUUCAUUCCUGGCUACUUUGCCUACUGUGAUCACUGGUCCAUCUCUGUGAGUUCAGGCUGUGUCACAGUGGCCACCGAGGUGUACUAGAUAACACACAGCAGUGUAUUAAGGUGUAUUAGAUAACACACAGCAGUGUCCCUGCCCUCCACUGCAUCCCCACUGCCCUGGGAGGUCCUCAGCCUUGCCUCUGCAACACUAGCCUGGCUGCACACAGCAACUAAUGCCCAGGACACUGAGAAAAGUGAAUCCUCUUGCUCCUCCACAGGAGGCUGGAAAACUGCCUGCUUUCUCUGGAGGUGCUGAAUGUAAGCGGGUUCUUUGGAGAGUCAUGGAACUUUUACAGAACACAAGAAUGACAGUAAAGACUCUGGUUUGUUUAUUGUGCUGCCAGCUGCAGAGGGCUAGAAGUGAUGAGACUGACUUGAAAAAUCACAAAUCCUGAAAUAAUAUGUAUUUUUUCACAUGUUCUUCUCUACUUGGAGCCUCCAACUACAGCCAGUGCCACAUGUUCAAUUUUUUUCAGCAAAAGGGUGCAAUUAAAAAAGGAAAAAAAGACGGAUGGGAUAAUUUUCAAGAGGUGAAACACGUAGGAAAACAGUAACUACUGUGGACAUUGAAAACCCAAAGAAGGUGGUAAUGCUGCUUUAAAAGCAGUUUUGGAAUUUAAUUUAAUUUGAUAUUAAACUCUGUUUCACUCCUUGCCUUCUCCCUUUACCUACUUUUUAGUCCAAGCUAACUCUGCUGUUGCUAAGACUUCCAGGAGAGAAAUUCGUGUUUCUAAGGGCCAUUACAGUUGGCACAGCAGGACUUCAGCUGAAAACUAAUCCGAAGUGAAGGUUGGGUCUGGAGGACACCCUGGUGCUUAUUG
RNAcentral lists this long non-coding RNA (1177 nucleotides) under Parus major (Great Tit). RNAcentral describes it as "lncRNA (ENSPMJG00000000378.1)". Lineage: Eukaryota; Metazoa; Chordata; Aves; Passeriformes; Paridae. The record is from RNAcentral.